This 925-nucleotide ribosomal RNA is filed under the name uncultured Neocallimastigales. RNAcentral's name for it is "partial large subunit ribosomal RNA". It matches the Rfam family "Eukaryotic large subunit ribosomal RNA", at positions 19 to 632 of the family's 3401-position model. Lineage: Eukaryota; Fungi; Neocallimastigomycota; Neocallimastigomycetes; Neocallimastigales. The record is from RNAcentral.
CGAGCACGCGCGUGUGGCAUAUCAAUAAGCGGAGGAAAAGAAACUAACAAGGAUUCCCCUAGUAACGGCGAGUGAAGCGGGAAGAGCUCAAAUUUGGAAUCUUCAAGGUUUUACCUUGACGAAUUGUAGUUUAAAGAAGUGUUUUCUGUUAGUGGAGUGGCAAAAGUUCUUUGGAAUAGGACAUCAUAGAGGGUGAGAAUCCCGUAUUUGGUCAUUCCUCCUAGCGUUGUGAUACACUUUCAACGAGUCGGAUUGAUUGGGAAUGCAGUCCAAAAUGGGUGGUAAAUUUCAUCUAAAGCUAAAUAUUGGCGAGAGACCGAUAGCGAACAAGUACCGUGAGGGAAAGAUGAAAAGAACUUUGAAAAGAGAGUUAAACAGUACGUGAAAUUGUCAAAAGGGAAGCGUUUGACACCAGUGUUGUUUUUCCGAAAAUCAAUUACGAAUGUUUUGUUUUUGAGGAGUUAUGACUUCAUCGGCUUGCUCCUUUCUUUACGAAACUUUCUUAAUGCACUUUUCGGUUAACAAGUCAACAUCAAUUUCUUUUGUUGUAAAAGGGUAUGAGGAAGGUGGCUUUCUUUUCGGAGAAAGUGUUUAUAGCCUUGUGCCUCUGCAAUCGGAGAGAUUGAGGUCUGCAGCGUAGAUCCUUCGGGGUUAGAUACGUUUGUGCUAAGUUAUAGCUUUUCAUAGACAACUUGUUGACUAUGUUUAGUCUUGUAGCUUACUCGCUGACGCUAUUUUACCUACGCUUAGGAUGUUGACGCGCGCGCGUGCUCGGCUCUAUACAUGACUCUGUGCAUAUCAAUAAGCGGAGGAAAAGGUAUACCUACGCUUAGGAUGUUGACUGCAUAUCAAUAAGCGGAGGAAAAGGCCGCGGAACUGAACGACCGCUACCUACGCUUAGGAUGUUGAAGACUCUACAGAGAUA